This 873-nucleotide small RNA is filed under the name Pongo abelii (Sumatran orangutan). RNAcentral describes it as "processed transcript". Lineage: Eukaryota; Metazoa; Chordata; Mammalia; Primates; Hominidae. The record is from RNAcentral.
CCCCAGUGGAAGUGGAGAAGUCAGGCGCCACCGACAAGCCUCUCCCAGCCAGGACUUUGCUUAGACUCGCUCCUCCCGGCAGGGCGCACCUAGGCGGGUCCAUCACCAGCCGGAGAGAGGGGUGUGGGCAGGGAGGGAACAGGUGCGCGGCGGGACCCGCCCUAUCUCAACAGCUCCUGCCAGGGCCAUCCAGGUGACCGUGUCCAACCCCUACCACGUGGUGAUCCUCUUCCAGCCUGUGACCCUGCCCUGUACCUACCAGAUGACCUCGACCCCCACGCAACCCAUCGUCAUCUGGAAGUACAAGUCUUUCUGCCGGGACCGCAUCGCCGAUGCCUUCUCCCCCGCCAGCGUUGACAACCAGCUCAAUGCCCAGCUGGCAGCCGGGAACCCAGGCUACAACCCCUACGUCGAGUGCCAGGACAGCGUGCGCACCGUCAGGGUCGUGGCCACCAAGCAGGGCAACGCUGUGACCCUGGGAGAUUACUACCAGGGCCGGAGGAUUACCAUCACCGGAAAUGCUGACCUCACCUUUGACCAGACGGCGUGGGGGGACAGCGGUGUGUAUUACUGCUCCGUGGUCUCAGCCCAGGACCUCCAGGGGAACAACGAGGCCUACGCAGAGCUCAUUGUCCUUGGGAGGACCUCAGGGGUGGCUGAGCUCUUACCUGGUUUUCAGGCGGGGCCCAUGGAAGACUGGCUCUUCGUGGUUGUGGUGUGCCUGGCUGCCUUCCUCAUCUUCCUCCUCCUGGGCAUCUGCUGGUGCCAGUGCUGCCCGCACACUUGCUGCUGCUACGUCAGGUGCCCCUGCUGCCCAGACAAGUGCUGCUGCCCCGAGGCCCGUAAGUGUCCCGCUCAUGGCCACCCUGGUUU